This 301-nucleotide ribosomal RNA is filed under the name uncultured bacterium. RNAcentral's name for it is "partial 16S ribosomal RNA". It matches the Rfam family "Bacterial small subunit ribosomal RNA", at positions 509 to 807 of the family's 1533-position model. The record is from RNAcentral.
CAGUAGCCGCGGGAAAACGUAGGGUGCGAGCGUUAAUCGGAAUUACUGGGCGUAAAGCGUGCGCAGGCGGUUUUGUAAGGCAGGCGUGAAAUCCCCGGGCUCAACCUGGGAAUGGCGCUUGUGACUGCAAAGCUAGAGUGCGGCAGAGGGGGAUGGAAUUCCGCGUGUAGCAGUGAAAUGCGUAGAUAUGCGGAGGAACACCGAUGGCGAAGGCAAUCCCCUGGGCCUGCACUGACGCUCAUGCACGAAAGCGUGGGGAGCAAACAGGAUUAGAUACCCCAGUAGUCCCUGUCUCUUAUAC